ACGUAGGUGGCGAGCGUUAUCCGGAUUUAUUGGGCGUAAAGGGUGCGUAGGCGGUAUGUUAAGUAUAAAAUAAAAGCCCGAAGCUUAACUUCGGUUCGUUUUAUAAACUGGCAAACUAGAGUACAGUAGAGGCAAAUGGAAUUCCUAGUGUAGUGGUAAAAUGCGUAGAUAUUAGGAGGAACACCAGUGGCGAAGGCGAUUUGCUGGGCUGUAACUGACGCUGAGGCACGAAAGCGUGGGGAGCAAAUAG
RNAcentral lists this ribosomal RNA (250 nucleotides) under uncultured bacterium. Its description in RNAcentral is "partial 16S ribosomal RNA". It matches the Rfam family "Bacterial small subunit ribosomal RNA", at positions 525 to 775 of the family's 1533-position model. The record is from RNAcentral.